This is a transfer RNA of Cavia porcellus (domestic guinea pig), 64 nucleotides long. It matches the Rfam family "tRNA". From Rfam's summary of the family: Transfer RNA (tRNA) molecules are approximately 80 nucleotides in length. Their secondary structure includes four short double-helical elements and three loops (D, anti-codon, and T loops). Further hydrogen bonds mediate the characteristic L-shaped molecular structure. tRNAs have two regions of fundamental functional importance: the anti-codon, which is responsible for specific mRNA codon recognition, and the 3' end, to which the tRNAs corresponding amino acid is attached (by aminoacyl-tRNA synthetases). tRNAs cope with the degeneracy of the genetic code in two manners: having more than one tRNA (with a specific anti-codon) for a particular amino acid; and 'wobble' base-pairing, i.e. permitting non-standard base-pairing at the 3rd anti-codon position. The record is from Rfam. NCBI's taxonomy places the organism in Eukaryota, Metazoa, Chordata, Mammalia, Rodentia, Caviidae.
GGGGAUUUAGCUCAGUGGCAUAAGCACCUGCCUUAUAAGCAGGUGGUCGUGAGUUCAAUCCCUG